This 256-nucleotide ribosomal RNA is filed under the name uncultured bacterium. Its description in RNAcentral is "partial 16S ribosomal RNA". It matches the Rfam family "Bacterial small subunit ribosomal RNA", at positions 524 to 778 of the family's 1533-position model. The record is from RNAcentral.
UACGUAGGGUGCGAGCGUUGUCCGGAAUUAUUGGGCGUAAAGAGCUUGUAGGCAGGUUUGUCGCGUCUGCUGUGAAAAUCCGGGGCUCAACCCCGGACUUGCAGUGGGUACGGGCAGACUAGAGUGUGGUAGGGGCAGACUGGAAUUCCCGGUGUAGCGGUGAAAUGCGCAGAUAUGGGAGGAACACCAGUGGCGAAGGCGGCACUCUGGGCUGGUACUGACGCUGAGGAGCGAAAGCGUGGGGAGCGAACGAGGA